AUUGAACGCUGGCGGCAUGCCUUACACAUGAAGUCGAACGGUAACAGGUCUUCGGAUGCUGACGAGUGGCGAACGGGUGAGUAAUACGUCGGAACGUGCCUAGUAGUGGGGGAUAACUACUCGAAAGAGUGGCUAAUACCGCAUGAGAUCUACGGAUGAAAGCAGGGGAUCGCAAGACCUUGUGCUACUAGAGCGGCCGAUGGCAGAUUAGGUAGUUGGUGGGAUAAAAGCUUACCAAGCCGACGAUCUGUAGCUGGUCUGAGAGGACGAUCAGCCACACUGGGACUGAGACACGGCCCAGACUCCUACGGGAGGCAGCAGUGGGGAAUUUUGGACAAUGGGCGCAAGCCUGAUCCAGCAAUGCCGCGUGCAGGAUGAAGGCCUUCGGGUUGUAAACUGCUUUUGUACGGAACGAAAAGCCCUGGGUUAAUGCCCUGGGGUCAUGACGGUACCGUAAGAAUAAGCACCGGCUAACUACGUGCCAGCCGCCGCCGUAA
This 497-nucleotide ribosomal RNA is filed under the name uncultured bacterium. RNAcentral describes it as "partial 16S ribosomal RNA". It matches the Rfam family "Bacterial small subunit ribosomal RNA", at positions 30 to 523 of the family's 1533-position model. The record is from RNAcentral.